CUGAGAUGCUGGUCCCGAAUAGCUGCCGUGAGGCAGACAGGUUUGCUACUUGUGGGCUCCUUGCCACACCAAAACAAUAGUUAACCACAAUCUACACAUCUCUAAUUCCCAGUUUAUUCAUAAUAGUCAAGAUUGUAGAAGGAAUUGUUGGCUUUGAGAUCCAUCCCAAGUAAUUCUCAUCCCUUGGGAGUGAGCGGGAUGGGUAUGGCAGGACACGGAACCAAUAUCCGCUCACCAAGGAUGUCUCCUUCUUCCCUCACAUGACACAGAGUUUAUCAUCAUUAUUACUUUUUUUUUUUUUUUUUUAUUAAAGUGAGAGGACUAUUUAUUUUUAUCAUGAGAGGUGGUGUGCUACCUUGUCUCAGCUACCCUAUUUCAAAGGAAUAUCUCAGUUUGGUAGUUACAUACAUUACUUGUAUCAAACCUACUAAUACAGCAACACAAAAUAUGUU
Long non-coding RNA from Scylla paramamosain (green mud crab), 452 nucleotides. RefSeq lists it as uncharacterized. The record is from RefSeq and is a predicted model, not a curated record. NCBI's taxonomy places the organism in Eukaryota, Metazoa, Arthropoda, Malacostraca, Decapoda, Portunidae. The transcript is spliced from 2 exons.